Molecule: ribosomal RNA, 421 nt
Filed under: uncultured archaeon
Lineage: Archaea
Description: partial 16S ribosomal RNA
Rfam family: Archaeal small subunit ribosomal RNA
Source: RNAcentral
CUACGGGUCGCUCCAGGCGCGAAACCUCUUCAAUGCACGACAGUGUGAAAGGGGAAUCCUACGUGCUUAUGUUAUGCAUAGGCUUUUGCAUAGUGUAAAUAACUACGCGAAUAAGGGGUGGGAAAGACCGGUGCCAGCAGCCGCGGUAACACCGGCGCCUCAAGUGGCAAUCAUAAUUAUUGGGCCUAAAGCAUCCGUAGCCGGAUUGGUAAAUUUUCUGUGAAAUCUAUCAGCUUAACUGAUAGUCGUGCAGAAAAGACUGCCUUUCUAGAGACCGGGAGAAGUUAGAGGUAUUCUGUGGGGAGCGGUAAAAUGUUAUAAUCCUCGGAAGACCACCAAUGGCGAAGGCGUCUAACUAGAACGGAUCUGACGGUGAGGGAUGAAGGCUAGGGGAGCAAAACGGAUUAGAUACCCAGUAGUC